GCCUCGGUAGCUCAGGAGUAGAGCAGAGCCCUGAAAAGGCUUGUGUCGCAUGUGCGAAUCAUGCUCGAGGCACCA
RNAcentral lists this transfer RNA (75 nucleotides) under Candidatus Pelagibacter sp. TMED106. RNAcentral describes it as "tRNA-Phe". It matches the Rfam family "tRNA". Rfam says of the family: Transfer RNA (tRNA) molecules are approximately 80 nucleotides in length. RNAcentral also lists the same sequence under 9 other names. Lineage: Bacteria; Pseudomonadati; Pseudomonadota; Alphaproteobacteria; Candidatus Pelagibacterales; Candidatus Pelagibacteraceae. The record is from RNAcentral.